UCCCGAAAGCUUCUCUUCCCCUCCUCUCUCUUCCUCCUGUUCGCUCUCUCUCGCUCUCCCUCUCCGACGCGUGCAGGGGGCGACGGCGGCUGCGUGCGUCUUCGGCGACGGCUGGCGCAACGGCGGCGCCCACCAUCCUCCUCCUACCCAGCCCUCCCUCGCCUGCCUCUCAUCUCCGUCUCUCCCUCCCCUUCCUCUCUCUCUCUUCCAUUCUCUUCCCUUCCCUUCUGAGAUGGCGGCUGCUACGAGGCGGCGGUGGUGGCCAGGGGCAGCCGGCGUGGUUGGAGCCUAGCACUCCCUCUCCCACAUCUUGCGUGCGGAGCACCUGAACACCUUCUCCCUCUGCUUUGUUUGCUCGUGUGCUACAGGUGCUACAGGAAACCCUAGCUGCCUAUUUUCGAGCAGGUCGCGUUCAUUCUAUUGGUUCAGUUGUUGAUCAGUUUGAUUAGUUCAUGGUUUGUUCUGUGAGUUCCGAUUUAUUUUGAUGGGUUCAGGUUCGACUUCCAGAUGUGCUGAUCCUGCAAGGUCGUUAGUUUAUGGUUUCAAGUAUGAAUUUAUAUUUGUAUUAGUGGGUUCAGGUUCAAUUUCAUACCUAUUCUAUUUUGACUGCGUAUAUUAAAUAUGUCCUUAUCCUGCAAUCCAAUAUCCUUAGGCUAACUUUUUUUUUGCCUUUAUCAAAUAAAUAGGGGCUUCAUGCUCUGUUUCUGAAUCCUCACAGAUUCAUGAUUUUGAAGUGAAGGUAGCAAAUGUUUUUGCAGGAUUGGCAUUACGUAUUAAAGUGCAAAGUCGUUAGUUUAUGGUUUCAGCUGUGAAUUUAUAGUUGUAUUGAGGUCCAAUUUCAGACAUAUUCUAUUUUGACUAGGUAUAUUAAAUAUGUCCUUAUCCUGCAAUCCAAUAUCCUCAGGCUAACCUUUUUUUUGCCUUUAUCAAAUAAAUAGGGGCUUCAUGCUCUGUUUCUGAAUCCUCAUAAAUUCAAGAUUCAUGAUUUUGGAGUGAAGGUAGCAAAUGUUUUUGCAGGAUUGGCACUACGUAUUAAAGUCAGGAUAUUGACGAAGGCACUAUCUGUUACCUUGCAGCAGACCGGGUUGGCACACUUUGCCUCUGCUCUUCACUAAUCGGAGUGGAUUCUAUGAGCAUUCUCUAUUUAUUUCACCUGUGCUAGGACACCAUAUCUACAGUUUGUUGUGAAUCUCGUAUUGAUACAUUGCCUAUUGUGAAUCUCGUAUUGAUACAGUGCCUACUUUCCGGUUCAUUCAUCUUGUCCUUUUUUAUAUUGAUUGGUGGAAUGUUGCCACACUUUGCCUCUACAUAUAAGUUAUAGUCUCAUAGGAGAUAUGACCACCUAUUGAAUCAGUUCUAUUUUAGCUCAAAGUAAUAUUGUGUCGUGUUAAUUUCAGUACUGUAGUAUCAGGCCUAGCAAUGAUUCAUGAGUUCUCAGCAAAAGAUAACAGUAGAUAGAAAAUGCAUUCAUACCUAUAAAUGCUAGAAGCAUUACAAUUGCUAAAAGUAACCAUAUACAAUUGCCAAGCCAGGAUCAAACCUUAUCAUGGAGGUGGUGGUAUUUUUUUCAUGAUUCCCUUUCCCACGAGUUCCUUAGUUAUGUAAUAAAAAAAUUGGUCAAGCUCUAUUUAUUCACGAGAUUCUUCCUACAGAUGCAGCAAAUCGCUACUGUGUCCAAUUCCAAAGGGUUUAGUGGUCUACCAGGAAUUCUGUGCCUGGCUGAUAUGUUGGGAUGCCUGCCUAGCAUAAAUCACUGCUGAGCCAAAUUCCAAAAGGGUUUAGUACUCUAAUGGAAAUUUUAUACCUGCCAGAUAUGUUGGGGAUAGUUUUGGAAGCGUGUCUCUAUUAAAGCUUGGUUUGGCUCAGAUAUAUUGGGGAUAGUUUUGGAAGUGUGUCUCUAUUAAAACUUGGUUUGGCUCAGAGAAUGCCUAGCAGACAUGCUAGAUGGGAUUCCUUUUACUGAAUCUUGUCGUAUAAUGUUGCUAAACUAGAAAUAUAUGUCUACCAUUUUCAAAGCAAAAUUUGUCAAUAAAUCUUAUUUUUUGUAUUUUUUCAGUAAGUGCUUAUAUUUAGAAGGUAGCACUACUCAGACAUUUAUUUAGUUUCCUGAAUAUUUUUUGUCAAAAGAGCAUCCGUAAAUUCAGGUGGAGCACUAAAAUUGUUCCUAUUUUUGAUAAUUAACUUCCGGAAUGAAUCCAUGGUCAGUGCAUUUCAUUUUGCAGCCUGCUUACCUCUAGAUUUAGUCAUUCGGUUGUCCAUUGCUACCUCCCUGUGCAAUUUUUUAAGCCCACUGAAGCUAGCAGUAGCAGCUGGUCUACUUUCCAAGAAGUUUAUCUUCUCGGUUACCCUCACCGAACACUCAUAUACCUCUAGGUCAAGGAGGCAAUACCUGAUCAAGUCCAUUUUAGAUAGACCGGACAGGCAUACCUCAUCAUUAAAUAUUGUUACCUCUGCAGCGGCUGCACAGAUUGUUCCAGUUCCAGUAACCAGUUCCAUACAACCAGCAAGUUCACUUGGUACUCCAGAGUACGCAGCCUGAACCACAGCCUGUAUCCUUUGACUGUGGAACUAAAUCGACACCUGCUCCAGCAGCUGUCCCAGAUGAUACACCUCUAAAGGAUCUUAUCACCAAGUCGCCAACAGGAACAUCACACGCUCAUAGGAAACUGUUUCGAGAAAACACUCUCACUGAAAAGGAAACCAUAGCGGAUCAAAAUUUGAACGCAAAGGGAAUCAUAAGGAUAACCACAAUGGUCCAAUUGAUCCACUACUGCAGCGCAAAAGAAAAAAAGGGAGAUACUUGAAUUUAGAUGAUCCAGACCAAGAGAACAAAAGGUCUUGCUGCAAAAUAACCAAGAAACUGGUUUCGAGACCCACUGAUUGUAUAAGGCAUUGCAGUAUUAGUUAGUUGAGACUGUCCAAGACUUUCGUAAACUUAUGUACUCGCUUCUAGGCUUGUCCAGUGUAUAUUAUUCAGGCUAUUAUGCUUUGAUCUCCUGGAUAUUACUUAAGAUGCCCAGGUCCUGUCCAAAAUUUAUAUGCCUAUCUAUUCAUGUACUUGCAAGAAGCAUAUAUGCUACCCGUACUAAUAUACUCCAGUAUGCAUGGAACUCAAUAUGCUAUCAUGUUUUUAAUUUGAA
This is a long non-coding RNA of Sorghum bicolor (sorghum), 3140 nucleotides long. RefSeq lists it as uncharacterized. NCBI's taxonomy places the organism in Eukaryota, Viridiplantae, Streptophyta, Magnoliopsida, Poales, Poaceae. The transcript is spliced from 6 exons. The record is from RefSeq and is a predicted model, not a curated record.